GCAGCACGGACUUCGGUCUGGUGGCGAGUGGCGAACGGGUGAGUAAUAUAUCGGAACAUACCCAGUAGUGGGGGAUAACUAUCCGAAAGGAUAGCUAAUACCGCAUACGAUCUGUGGAUGAAAGCAGGGGAUCUUCGGACCUUGUGCUAUUGGAAUGGCCGAUAUCUGAUUAGCUAGUUGGUAGGGUAAAAGCCUACCAAGGCGACGAUCAGUAGCUGGUCUGAGAGGACGACCAGCCACACUGGAACUGAGACACGGUCCAGACUCCUACGGGAGGCAGCAGUGGGGAAUUUUGGACAAUGGGGGCAACCCUGAUCCAGCAAUGCCGCGUGAGUGAAGAAGGCCCUCGGGUUGUAAAGCUCUUUUGUCAGGGAAGAAACGGAGUUCUCUAAUAUAGGAUUCUAAUGACGGUACCUGAAGAAUAAGCACCGGCUAACUACGUGCCAGCAGCCGCGGUAAUACGUAGGGUGCAAGCGUUAAUCGGAAUUACUGGGCGUAAAGCGUGCGCAGGCGGUUUUGUAAGUCUGAUGUGAAAUCCCCGGGCUCAACCUGGGAACUGCAUUGGAGACUGCAAGGCUAGAGUGUGUCAGAGGGGGGUAGAAUUCCACGUGUAGCAGUGAAAUGCGUAGAGAUGUGGAGGAAUACCGAUGGCGAAGGCAGCCCCCUGGGAUAACACUGACGCUCAUGCACGAAAGCGUGGGGAGCAAACAGGAUUAGAUACCCUGGUAGUCCACGCCCUAAACGAUGUCUACUAGUUGUCGGGACUUAAUUGUCUUGGUAACGCAGCUAACGCGUGAAGUAGACCGCU
Molecule: ribosomal RNA, 808 nt
Filed under: uncultured Burkholderiales bacterium
Lineage: Bacteria; Pseudomonadati; Pseudomonadota; Betaproteobacteria; Burkholderiales
Description: SSU rRNA
Rfam family: Bacterial small subunit ribosomal RNA
Source: RNAcentral